Molecule: long non-coding RNA, 1106 nt
Filed under: Phasianus colchicus (ring-necked pheasant)
Lineage: Eukaryota; Metazoa; Chordata; Aves; Galliformes; Phasianidae
Description: lncRNA (ENSPCLG00000013258.1)
Source: RNAcentral
CGGCCACCUCUUGGUCAGAACCCUACCUCAGCACACACAACCUAUGCUCUGGCAGCAGCCAUGAUGCACACCUCAAUCUCCUCUUCUGCUUUCAGCUUCAGCAAACAUCAUUGAAAUCUCUGGGCCGGCUCAUGGCGGUCCUGCUCAAGACAGAGCCCACCUGUGGCUUUUUCCAGAACAUAGUCCAUGUGAGUAUAUGUGGGGCAAGGGAGAAAGCAUGGUAACUGUCAAUAGCGGGGACAGAGAUUUGGGGACUGAGAGGACAGUCAGAGGGGGAGAAAUCUCCUGCUGACAUGCCAGUUCACUGCGAGCUCAAAAAUGGGCAGAGAAAUGAGCCCUGCAGGGGGAAAGGCAGGAGCCAGCCCUGGCAAACCACAGCUGAGGAAAAGCUCCUGGGUUAGGAGGCAGGAGUGUCUGCAGAGAGCAGGGGCAGCAGUGCUGGUGCUCAGUGAGGCAGGGGGCCACAUGGAACCAGGAAAGGCCCUAAGGGAAAGUGUCAGGAAAGGAGGGACAGGGAGAGGGGUGGCAGGAAGGGAAAGAAAAGAUGUCCUCAGUGAGACAGAUGCUCUGCCACAGGUCCUGCAGAGAUCUAUGACAUCAGACAACGUGUGGGAGCGCAAGAGGGCCCUGCAGACCUGCUCCCAGCUGCUGGCUGUUUGUGAAGAGCUUCAAAGAGGAGAUAUCUGUGAGCACUUUGGCUCCUUGGUGGGAUUGCUGGCACCUCUGACAUGUGACCCUAUGCCCACAUCCCGCCAGCUGGCCGCCACCUGUCUGAGCUCCCUUCUCCGAAUCCAAGCCAAAGCAGCCAACAGAGACAUCGAGACAGGAGACAUCAGGAGUCUGUAUGAGGGGCUGCAUGCCUGCAGCACCAUCUAUCAGCUCCAGACCUCGUCCAAAAUGGCAAGGGUAAGUGGACCCAAAAAGGGGUGGUGGGAUCUCAGUGCAUGGGCUUCUGCACGACCCUGUGCUACUCCCAGCCUCUCACACCAUUUCCAGAAUGAGCUGUCACCCUGAGACUGCUUUUCUGAGCAAGUAGCAGGAGGCUCUGAGCUAUGUCUGGCCUCCAGGUGCCCAGUGCAAGGAGCUGACUCCAUGUGUGUUUGUGU